UGAUACCAGGGUCAAAAGGUCUAAAAUCCGAUGAGGGCUUGCAUGAAGGAGGAUUAUUGAACUUGGGACCCGCCUAAAACAUGAGUAAGGAGCCAUUUUUUGAAGAUAAAUGAGCGGAUUACGAAUGUUUUAAGAAUUGCGGGAGUUGCAAAGCACGUAGCAAUUCGGUAUCA
This 173-nucleotide non-coding RNA is filed under the name unclassified sequences. RNAcentral describes it as "Clostridiales-1 RNA". It matches the Rfam family "Clostridiales-1 RNA". The record is from RNAcentral. RNAcentral also lists the same sequence under 1 other name.